Molecule: long non-coding RNA, 878 nt
Organism: Jaculus jaculus (lesser Egyptian jerboa)
Lineage: Eukaryota; Metazoa; Chordata; Mammalia; Rodentia; Dipodidae
Exons: 3
Source: RefSeq, a predicted model, not a curated record
GCUCCGCGGUCACGUGACGCCGUCCCCACCCCCGAGGCCACAUCAGCCCUUGCAGCCGGCCGGGUGGUGGACGUGCCCUGGGGCCUCGGAUCCCCGGGCUUCGACUUGCUGUUGAUUUGACCUUGGGGUCGCACCUCCUCUCCCUCACUCCCAGAAGCUGAGCUCAGGAUCUCUAUCCCACGAUGACCGAUCGGCCUCUUCCCACCCCUCCCCCCGCGUCUCAGCCCCCCCAUCACCCCCGCGAAGACGCCCCGGCCUCCUGCCGCGCCCUGAGCCUCUGCUUUGAGCCCGAAUAUUCUUUGCAUAAUGGCCUCAUGGAAUAUCAUGGAAGUCUCUGUAGUGACGCGGUGUCUCUAUGGCGAGGGGCCCACUGAGUCUUGAGAUUGCGUGGGUCUUCCGCCACCCCCUGUGGGCCCACUGGUGCUGAGAAUGGAAGGGUCCAGAAAAACCACCCUGGUCCAAGCGAGCACCUGAAGGAGGCGCCGGUGAGAGGCUGUCUGUCUCUGGAACUAGGAGGCCUCGGCUGCUGCAGAGUUGGGGCGUAUGUCUUCUGGGGAAUUGGCAUCCACUCCAGGUCCUUCCUCCCGGAAUCCUGCGACUCCAGCCUGGGCAGUGAAGACUGGCAAGAAGGCUCACAGGACACCUGCACAGCCAAGGCUCUCCACCUUACGUUGAUCAACCUGGACCCAGCCGUACAUGAAGUCCCCUUUCCUGCCAAUAUUGAUCAUUUUGGUCAACUGGUUUCAAGAGCCAAAGAAGAACAGACACAACUGCAUUUGGGACUUACAUCAAACUCAUCCAAGCUCCAGCCAUCUUCUGCAUCCCACAGAGUACCAGCAAGGAGUCAAGCAGCAGUUCAAAGAAAACUGGAACACCAU